AUCAUUGAUUAAAAUACAGUCCGUGUAACGUAAAAGUUAACAAUACGAACGAUGCCCGAACCAUGUACGGACGAUGCCCGAACGAUGUACGUACGCUUCCCGAACGGUGUACGAAUGCAAACGAAACGCUGACCGAACGUUGUACGGACGCUGAACGAAUGAUGUACGAACGAAACCAUGUACCAUAAACCAUACCAUAAACGAUAACAUAAGCGCCCUUUUAUCGUAUAUCCUAUGGUUUUGCGUUAAUCGUUUCAUUUAGCGUAUACCGUAUCGUUUAGCGUACAUCGUUUCGUUUAGCGUAUAUCGUAUCGUUUAGCGUACAUCGUUUCUUGGCGUGCAUAGUUUCGUUUAGCGUAUAUGUUUUUUUUUAAAUAUAAAACAUGAAUUGUGUUCUGUUAAAUCUUUUUAUAUAGGUGAUAAUAUGCGUAAAA
Molecule: long non-coding RNA, 434 nt
Filed under: Mytilus galloprovincialis (Mediterranean mussel)
Lineage: Eukaryota; Metazoa; Mollusca; Bivalvia; Mytilida; Mytilidae
Source: RNAcentral